AUAAUAGGUAGGUUGUGUUUUAGAUUCUAAUGGAAAGGUUUUCCAGUUUUAUUAUAAUUUUAAAAAUAUUGAGGCUCUUUUAGUUGUUUACUAACUAUAGGUAAAUUAAAAUUUAUUACCAUUACGAGUUUAAAAUGAUUAUUUAUUGUAUAUCUAACCUUAAAAUUAUUUUCACUCUCAGAUAGCCAUAAGCGCUAUUUGUAUAUAUGUUCUGAAAGUUGAGUUAUGCUCUGGGUUAUGUCAUAUUCUAGGGGUGCAAUAUUAUUUAAUAACUAAAAACCUAAGUGUUCUAUGAAAAAAUAAGUAGAAAUUUACCCAUGUUGAUUAUUU
Molecule: non-coding RNA, 330 nt
Organism: Cinara cedri
Lineage: Eukaryota; Metazoa; Arthropoda; Insecta; Hemiptera; Aphididae
Source: the annotation of a GenBank genome assembly